This 465-nucleotide ribosomal RNA is filed under the name uncultured bacterium. Its description in RNAcentral is "partial 16S ribosomal RNA". It matches the Rfam family "Bacterial small subunit ribosomal RNA", at positions 339 to 795 of the family's 1533-position model. The record is from RNAcentral.
CUACGGGGGGCAGCAGUGGGGAAUAUUGCACAAUGGGCGCAAGCCUGAUGCAGCCAUGCCGCGUGUAUGAAGAAGGCCUUUGGGUUGUAAAGUACUUUCAGCGGGGAGGAAGGGAGUAAAGUUAAUACCUUUGCUCAUUGACGUUACCCGCAGAAGAAGCAUCGGCUAACUCCGUGCCAGCAGGCCGCGGUAAUACGGAGGGUGCAAGCGUUAAUCGGAAUUACUGGGCGUAAAGCGCACGCAGGCGGUUUGUUAAGUCAGAUGUGAAAUCCCCGGGCUCAACCUGGGAACUGCAUAUGAUACUGGCAAGCUUGAGUCUCGUAGAGGGGGGUAGAAUUCCAGGUGUAGCGGUGAAAUGCGUAGAGAUCUGGAGGAAUACCGGUGGCGAAGGCGGCCCCCUGGACGAAGACUGACGCUCAGGUGCGAAAGCGUGGGGAGCAAACAGGAUUAGAUACCCCAGUAGUC